This 107-nucleotide small nuclear RNA is filed under the name Prolemur simus (greater bamboo lemur). Lineage: Eukaryota; Metazoa; Chordata; Mammalia; Primates; Lemuridae. The record is from RNAcentral.
GUGCUUUUUUCAGCAGCACGUAUACUAACAUUGGAACGAUACAGAGAAGAUUAGCAUGGCCCCUGCUCUAGGAUGACACGCAAAUUCACGAAGGGUUCCAUAUUUUU